GUGCUCACUUUGGCAGCACAUAUACUAAAACUGGAACGAUACGGAGAAGAUUAGCAUGGCCCCUGUGCAAGGAUGACACGCAAAUUCGUGAAGCGGUCCAUAUUUAU
RNAcentral lists this small nuclear RNA (107 nucleotides) under Tupaia belangeri (northern tree shrew). Lineage: Eukaryota; Metazoa; Chordata; Mammalia; Scandentia; Tupaiidae. The record is from RNAcentral.